CAAGCGAAAACAGCUGCGGCAACGGCAACGAUGACGAUUAUAACAACAAGAGAUCAAUGGAAGACCAUGUUGCAGCAUCCUUAGCAAAAGAUCCUAGCUUCACUCUAGCUUUAGCCGCAGCUGUUGCUCGCUCCAUUACUGAGCACCCUAAACCACCAACAAACUAAAAUAACAUUUCUUUAAAGCAUUAGGCUAAGGUGUGUAUGUGUACUUAAUUCAAGUCGGUCUUAGUUGUCAUUCAUUUUCUUGAAGCAAUUGAGGGAGCAAAUAUAAAAUAACUUCAGAAAUAAAAGGGAGGGACUUAAUUGAAAAGAAAACAAAACUUGCUUAAAUGUCCAAAGGAGCAAUAAUACCAAGCAUAUACAAUGAGAAGAACCAUCCUAGCUUCUCUUAUUUGGUUAAGGCUACAUAUUUAUACGUACAUACAUUUUUUACUCAUAUUUUAAUAUAUAAAUUAGCAAUAAAUUAAGUGAAUUGGAAAUAAAAAUAUAUUUAAUAAAAACUAAUUUAUUAAUAAAAUAUAUAUUAAAAUGAUUUGACAUUAAAUAAAAAAUAAUAAUUAAUAUUAUGUUUAUUUUAAAAAAUAAUAUAAUUAAAAUAAAAAUUAAAUUAGAAAAUAAGUAGCAGUGAAAGGGGUGAAAUAGAAAUUACCCCCUUCCACUAGAGAUUUGUAUCUCCACUGAUGGCCUUUAACUUUGAGGGUGAAUUUGGAUGGGCGGUGCGUUUAUUUGCGAUUAUUGUAAAAAUAGUGGUGGUGAUGAGAUUAAAUACUAUAGUGAUACUGUAGCGUGAGAUAAAAAGUAAGCUAAACACACCGUAUCGCACCCAAUCGCCCAUCCAAACCAACCUUGAGUCCGAAAUUGAGAACUAGUAAGAUGCAUUCCUUCAACUAUUGCUCUUCUAAACAGUUUCACUAGUGAAAAUGCGGUGAGAUAGAGAAUAAAUUGUAUUGAUGGCCUUAAAUCCUGAGUCCAAAAUUGAGAACUGGUGAGACACGUUCCCUCAACUGAUGCUCUUCAAACAGUCUCACUAGUGAAAAUGCGGUGAGAUGGAGAAUAAAUUGUACUGAUGCCCUUUAACCCUGAGUCCAAAAUAAAAGUCAACACAAGAAAUUAAAUAAAAAACAAAUACUUUGAAGAAAAUAUGCUAAGGUUAGAGGUAUCAAUCGGAUAAUCUAGUAAUGUAUGUCUAAUAAUUAAUCAUAUGAAUCCAUGAGCAAAGAUAAGACCAUCAAAGGAACGUCCAAAAUGAUUGUUCAAUAAGUUCAAGAGUUUAGCAAAUGAAUCCAUAUAAAAGGAUGGUGUAAUACGACAGUUUAACUGUUUGAGUUCAGUCCAAAAAUAUAACAUAUGGUAUUAUAAUCACUUGAUAACUUCAAGACUUGUAAAAAAGAUUUCAAAUAUUUUAUGCCAAUUUUUAUGUCUACAGCAAAUCAAGGUUAAUUUAUCCAAGCAUUCAUUGUGUCAUAUAUUGUCUAUAUCAAAUAAAAUAUAUUACUUUACAAGUAUGAUUAUAAUAAAUGAUUGAUAAUUAAAUUAAGCUCAAAUGAUGAGUAUGUAAUUUACCUUAAUAUUUGCCAAGAGUUUCAUCCUUGCACCUCACCAUUGAAAACUUAACAAAAUUAAACAACUCAAACUUAUAUAUAAAGACAUAUUAGAUAUAAGAAACUUGAGAUUUUACAAAGAUAAAACUAUGAAGAAAUACUAACAAGAAAAUGAUCUUGAUCUCAACUUCAAGAUGCCUCCUAUUCUGAAAUGAAAAGCUAUUUAUAGAGGUUUGUGAAGAGAAAAAUGACAAUGCAAAUAACUUGCUAAUAAUAAAUUUUUAGGCCUAUUUCUUUAUCAUCUUUUGAGUCAUUUUUCACAUGUUAAAUGAUGACUUAUUUUGUCCAAUUUAAUGUCUCCC
Molecule: long non-coding RNA, 1905 nt
Filed under: Gossypium barbadense (sea-island cotton)
Lineage: Eukaryota; Viridiplantae; Streptophyta; Magnoliopsida; Malvales; Malvaceae
Description: long non-coding RNA (GBAR_LNC017542)
Source: RNAcentral